Molecule: ribosomal RNA, 513 nt
Filed under: uncultured Alphaproteobacteria bacterium
Lineage: Bacteria; Pseudomonadati; Pseudomonadota; Alphaproteobacteria
Description: bacterial SSU rRNA
Rfam family: Bacterial small subunit ribosomal RNA
Source: RNAcentral
CAAUGGGCGCAAGCCUGAUCUAGCCAUGCCGCGUGAGUGAUGAAGGCCUUAGGGUCGUAAAGCUCUUUCGCCUGUGAUGAUAAUGACAGUAGCAGGUAAAGAAACCCCGGCUAACUCCGUGCCAGCAGCCGCGGUAAUACGGAGGGGGUUAGCGUUGUUCGGAAUUACUGGGCGUAAAGCGCACGUAGGCGGAUUGGAAAGUUGGGGGUGAAAUCCCGGGGCUCAACCCCGGAACUGCCUCCAAAACUAUCAGUCUAGAGUUCGAGAGAGGUGAGUGGAAUUCCAAGUGUAGAGGUGAAAUUCGUAGAUAUUUGGAGGAACACCAGUGGCGAAGGCGGCUCACUGGCUCGAUACUGACGCUGAGGUGCGAAAGUGUGGGGAGCAAACAGGAUUAGAUACCCUGGUAGUCCACACCGUAAACGAUGAAUGCCAGUCGUCGGGCAGUAUACUGUUCGGUGACACACCUAACGGAUUAAGCAUUCCGCCUGGGGAGUACGGUCGCAAGAUUAAAAC